GAUGAACGCUGGCGGCGUGCCUAAUACAUGCAAGUCGAGCGAACAGACGAGGAGCUUGCUCCUCUGACGUUAGCGGCGGACGGGUGAGUAACACGUGGAUAACCUACCUAUAAGACUGGGAUAACUUCGGGAAACCGGAGCUAAUACCGGAUAAUAUAUUGAACCGCAUGGUUCAAUAGUGAAAGACGGUUUUGCUGUCACUUAUAGAUGGAUCCGCGCCGCAUUAGCUAGUUGGUAAGGUAACGGCUUACCAAGGCAACGAUGCUUAGCCGACCUGAGAGGGUGAUCGGCCACACUGGAACUGGGACACGGUCCAGACUCCUACGGGAGGCAGCAGUAGGGAAUCUUCCGCAAUGGGCGAAAGCCUGACGGAGCAACGCCGCGUGAGUGAUGAAGGUCUUCGGAUCGUAAAACUCUGUUAUUAGGGAAGAACAAAUGUGUAAGUAACUAUGCACGUCUUGACGGUACCUAAUCAGAAAGCCACGGCUAACUACGUG
This 497-nucleotide ribosomal RNA is filed under the name uncultured bacterium. RNAcentral's name for it is "partial 16S ribosomal RNA". It matches the Rfam family "Bacterial small subunit ribosomal RNA", at positions 28 to 507 of the family's 1533-position model. The record is from RNAcentral.